CUGGCAAUUGGAAUGAGAACAAUUUAAAUCCCUUAUCGAGGAUCAAUUGGAGGGCAAGUCUGGUGCCAGCAGCCGCGGUAAUUCCAGCUCCAAUAGCGUAUAUUAAAGUUGUUGCAGUUAAAAAGCUCGUAGUUGGACCUCUGGUGGGAGCGAUCGGUCCGACGCUCUGCGUGGGUACUUGUAUCGUCUCCGGCCAUCCUUGGGAAGAGCCUGUCUGGCAUUAGGUUGUCGGGCAGGGGAUUCCCAUCGUUUACUGUGAAAAAAUUAGAGUGUUCAAAGCAGGCUUAUGCCGUUGAAUAUAUUAGCAUGGAAUAAUAAGAUAGGACCUCAGGACUAUUUUGUUGGUUUGCGCCCCGAGGUAAUGAUUAAUAGGGACAGUUGGGGGUAUUCGUAUUGCGCUGUCAGAGGUGAAAUUCUUGGAUUAGCGCAAGACGAACUACUGCGAAAGCAUUUACCAAGGAUGUUUUCAUUAAUCAAGAACGAAAGUGGGGGGAUCGAAGAUGAUUAGAUACCAUCGUAGUCUCAACCAUAAACUAUGCCGACUCGGGAUUGGCGGUCGU
Molecule: ribosomal RNA, 560 nt
Filed under: uncultured diatom
Lineage: Eukaryota; Bacillariophyta
Description: SSU rRNA
Rfam family: Eukaryotic small subunit ribosomal RNA
Source: RNAcentral